Molecule: non-coding RNA, 2373 nt
Organism: Oryctolagus cuniculus (rabbit)
Lineage: Eukaryota; Metazoa; Chordata; Mammalia; Lagomorpha; Leporidae
Source: RefSeq, a predicted model, not a curated record
CAAUGCCUUUUUGUGUUUUCUGUCAAUUCUCCAAACUUAAAUGUGAACCAUUAGAGCACUUAUCAUAUUGCAUUUUAAUUACAGGUCUCCUUGCCAUCUCUCUGGUCUUCCAGACUGUGGAAUCUUCCUUUAGCACCAUCUUUUAUUAGCCUUUUAAACAAAGCACCUGUCAUAAAGUCUGGUCCACAAUAGACACUCUAUAAGUGGGAGCUUAAAAUCUGCAAGUGAAUACAAACAUCAAACAGCCACAGAAUGGCCUUGAAGCAGAGGAUAAUGUUGCAUUAAUGUACAGCAAAAUUCUCAGCACCAAACACAGGGAUCUGCAGCUGUCCGGAGGGACACUACUAGAAUACUCAAGGCUCCCUCUAAGUGGCAACAAUUGCAACUUCAAGAAACCCUGGCAAUCAUAGAAAACAGAUGAAUCCUCGCUGCUGCAAGAUCUGUUACUGGAUUCUGAUUUGGUCCCGCCUGGAUCAGGGGGUCACCAUGAGACCAAUCACCUUCUGAGAUGGGAGAGUCAAGCCCGCCCCUGAGACCAGGGAAGUAGGACAAAGAGACUGGCACACAAGCUUUGCUGAAGUUUAUGUGGAUACAGGACAGGUUGCCACGAGAAGUCGUCCGGGCAGCACAGACCCCUGACGGUGCAGGAAUGGAGGCAUCCAUGAAGGUCAAUGCCAACAACCAAGGUCCUUGGCAGCUCCCGCCAGCCCUGCCUGCUGCAGAAGAGAUGGGACUUGCAAAGUAGUGUAAACAAUAACAGAAAUGUCGGAGUCUCCUCUGUUGCUAAAUGCUUUGCUGGGGAUAGUUAAGAAAUCGUCACAAAUCUCUGUUCUUGGGCACCCGUUCAGAGGCCUGGAAACCCUAACCGAAGGGGAGCAUCGGGGUUCCAGUUUGCUGAAAUGCAGCCUCUGUUCCCUUCGCAGGGAGGGAGAUCAUUUUCUGCUCAUCUUUCAAUCGGAUUAAUAGGAGGAAGGCUCUACUAUGGCAAACAGAGCUCAUGACUUGCUGGAUAGCCUGGGGCAAGCCAACAGCCCUGACCGUCCCUAUUCUGGGUGGCACCCACAGCCGGGUUGUGGGGUUCAGACAGGAAGUUUCAUGUGAACUCUCAGCACCAUGCAAACAGGAGCAAUCCAGCCAUAAGUUACUUAUUUCUAAAAAAACUGCUGGUCAUCAUUUCAUAUUUCUUUACUGCCUCAUAAACAUGGUAGAACUUCCCAAUCUCUAGCGGUAUAAUUAUUUUUUAAGAUUUAUUUUAUUUGUUUGAAAGAGUUACAGAGAAAGGUAGAGCCAUAGGGAGAGAAAGGUCUUGCAUCUGCUGGUUCACUCCCCCCAGAUGGCUGCAAUGGCCUGAGCUGCGCUGAUCCAAAGCCAGGAGCCAGGAGCUUCUUCUGGGUCUCCCACGUGGGUGCAGGGGCCCAAGGACUUGGGCCAUCUUCCAUUGUUUUCCCAGGCCAUAGCAGACAGCUGGAUCAGAAGUGGAGCAGCCGGGACUUGAACCGGUGCCCAUACGGGAUGCUGGCACUGCAGGCGGCAGCUUUACCUGCUACACCACAAUGUCGGCCCCCUGGUGGUAUAAUUUCAAGCUUUGAUAGUGGCAUCACAGGCAGAGUUCCUAAAGGUAGACCACUAAGAAGGGAAAUGGCAAUGGUAGAUCUCACCACAAGGUGGCACUAUUGAAGACCUUUCUUUGCCUUGAUGACAACAGACAGGACACUGGAGGGAUGGGGUCAAGAGUAUUAAGGAGGCCUGUGUACCACAUGUUUAAUUAUUUAAGAGUUAAAUCAAUCUAGUACAGAGGGUCAAUAGAAUAUGCUUCCUAUCUUGCAAAACAUCUUCCUAAUGCAAUGGUAGGUCAAGUGCAAAUUUAGAACUCUGAGACUCCUCAAUUGUGGGCUGAACUGGGUGGCGUCCAGCCUCCCACCGCUGCCAGCCUUGCCUGUGCCCCGAGGGCCUUGCACAUGAACUUCCCAAUGCCAUCCAUAUCCCUGUGCCCUCAGCAUGGGGCCACCCUGCGGCCUGUGCAGGAUCUGGAAGCUCGCGGCAGGGGAGGGGGCAGUUGUGCAGGGGCUGGUGAGGCCCUGGGACCCAGACAGGUCUGCAUCAGGGGUCAGCUGCUUCUCUGUAAAGGGUGAGGUGGUAACUGUUGGGGUGUUAUGGGUAAGAUGGUCUCUGUCACAGUGAUGUGUAUCAUGAAGUAGCCCUCGGCAAGACAUAAGUGAGUGGGUGUGGCUGUGUUCCAUACUGGAGUGCUUGGUUCAAGUCCUGAUUACCCUGCUUCUGAUCCAGCUUCCUGUUAAUGUGCACCCUGAUAGGCAGCAAGUGAUGGCUCGCGCACCUGGGACCCUGCCACUCAUGUAGGACACCUGGAUUAAG